ACGGUACAGAGCUGCCGAUGGU
Molecule: non-coding RNA, 22 nt
Filed under: Arabidopsis thaliana (thale cress)
Lineage: Eukaryota; Viridiplantae; Streptophyta; Magnoliopsida; Brassicales; Brassicaceae
Source: RNAcentral